UUGCAAGAGGCACAAUCCGGGUACUAUACAAUAAUGAAAUAAUUCCAUAUCUUCAACAAACGCAGUAUAAUAUUGUUCCGAGACCCUCGACAGUUCGUCUCCCACUUUAUCUGCAGAUAGAAAUUCUUUAUGACUUUUGAAUCCCAACUUGUAAUACCAAACAAUAGCUUCUACUGAAACCUAGAAAGAAAAAUAUAGAAUUAGUUUGAGAACUGAAUAAAUUUCACAUUGUUAUACAGACGUGAAAAUUGUUGACGUUUCAGCAUCAACAAAAAAGUUACUCAGCAUACUUUGAUCAAACCAUAAUAUCCAGCUUUCCACGCUCGCCAUAAUGGCGGAUGCUAUAAAACAAUUUGACAGCAUCUGUGCCCCAGUUAACGCAACGACUUAUUUCACCCAUAGCAACCUGUGAUAAACAAAUUUUUCUCUUGGUUUCUUUUCCAACCAGGCAAAAGAUUCGUUUCCACAUGAAAUAUUAAGUUUUAAAACAAGUAUUUUUUCUAGCCUGGAGCCUGGAUUAAUUAAUAUCAUAUAAAACUCUCGAUAAUGGACACCGAAACGGAAAGGGGACACCGAUUGAAACUCCAGGCUGCUAUUAUAGACUGUGUGACCAACGGCAGCCGGCGGGCUGGGCUUAAAUGGUAACUUUCGGUCCUCGAGUCCCAGGGUCCUUUGGAGGUUUUGUAGAGAAGUUUUAGAACAUACUGGUGGGGCGAUUCCAACGACGGUAAAGGCCAGCGCAAGCACAUACCGAUGAUGGUACCCCAGGUUAACGGGGUCGACGAGGAUCAUGGUCAGUCAAGAAGACCGACGCCGGGGACCAAAACGUGGGCUAGCGAGUACGGCCGCUGAAGGGGUCAGCGAGGGAGGCCGAUAACUGCGAUUACCGUAGAAGGAUGAAGGUAGCGUGGUGACUUGAUAAAGAGGGCGAGAAAUUCUAUCCGGAUCAACAGUCCGUGGCCAGCCAAGAUGAACGGUGCCGGAGCCAAAACGUAGGCCAACGAGGGUAACCGCCGAAGGAGGAUGGCAAUGGGAAGCCGUUAACAGCGAAUGCCGUAGCGAAUGCCAUAACUGUCCAUGUUUUUGUGAUUGAUUAAUCAUGAUUUUUAAUCAAUGAGCCAUUUUUAAUCAUUAAUCAUAACCAAUAAUCACAGAUAAAACCAAAUUUAUUCAUAAUUCAUAAUCUUUAAUCAUCCUCAAAAUCAAAUUAAUCAUUAAUCAUAAUCAAUAAUCACUAAAAUAAAAAUUUUAAUUUUCAAUUAUUAAUCAUGAUUAAAAUUUUUGUUAAUCAUGAUUAAUGAA
Molecule: long non-coding RNA, 1302 nt
Organism: Aedes albopictus (Asian tiger mosquito)
Lineage: Eukaryota; Metazoa; Arthropoda; Insecta; Diptera; Culicidae
Exons: 2
Source: RefSeq, a predicted model, not a curated record